Molecule: long non-coding RNA, 2124 nt
Organism: Vigna radiata var. radiata (mung bean)
Lineage: Eukaryota; Viridiplantae; Streptophyta; Magnoliopsida; Fabales; Fabaceae
Exons: 2
Source: RefSeq, a predicted model, not a curated record
AGUUCCUCUAAAUUUCACUAAACAAACCAGCAGAAUUAGCUUUCUUUGAAAACAAACUGCAUAAUUUUUGGCAUUGAAAUUCUGAUCUGUGUGGUGCAUCGAUAUUCCAUACAAUUGUAGCAAGAGCUUGGCCAAAUUUUACUGAAUAUAAUAGAAUAGAUUGUGUAAUCAAAAGAGUUUGAAAAUCAUUCAAAAAGCUGAUUGGCCAGUGCAAGGAAAUUGGCAAAUUUUGGCACCAAAAUCUGUCUUCAUUCAGGCAUUUUCNCAAANAGAUUGGACAGAAUUUUAAUUGCUUCUAAAUUCGAUUCAAUUGCAGUUUGAUUUUGUUUCUUGUUUUGUUAAUCAGUGUUAGAACCAUUCCUAAGCUUCUCUUUGUUGUGCUACCAUGUUUCUAUACCUUUUAUUGCUUUGAAUUCCAAUUUUUGGCAUUCUUGCAUACCACCUGUUUGAUUAAAGGUGAGUAGUGCAGUCUGGUUCUGCAGUAGAUAGUGUUCUUAUUAUUCACUGCUUUCAUUCACUUGUGACUCAUUUGUGAUCUGUUGGAUGUGCAUUCGUGGAAGAUUGAAUUGUCUCAUAAGUUCUUCUUUUCGGUAGCCUCCUAGGGAGUGGAGAAGUGGCAAGAAGCACUUGGAGAAGUGACUGAAGUGCUGCAACAAUUUCUGCUGGAAGCUGCCGAGAGCUACAGCUGCUAAACCAGUUUUUAGGUUCUAAAUCUGGUUGGUAAUAAGAUCCAUUCUUUUGGAAAAACUGGAAGCACACAUAGCUGUGAAUUAAUGCCAAAGUUGAACAACUUCAAGCAUCAGAAAUCACAGCAGCAAUGCUUAUUGCAACUUAUCUGCAGUAGUUGAAACUGGAUGCACAUUAUCCGUGACCAUCAGCAACUCCAGCGUGGUUUAAACCACAAACCGCAUUGCAUCAGGCUUUGCAGAGAUUUUAAUGCCCUUGAGUUCUAUUUCUAUUUUGCUGAUUUAGUGAUAAUCUGCAAUCUUUGCUGAAAUUGUGGUGUUCUUCUUUUAUGCAGAUUGUUCUGGACAAUUUGAAAGUAAUGCAAUCUUGCCAAGUAUAGUUAAAAUUUGGUUUGAUUAAAAUUGAAAAGGUUCGAACAGCAGAUUGCCAAGUGAGAGCAAAAUUGGAUCUAAUCUCCACAUCAAUGGUAGUAAAGUCGUGAGAGGAUUUGAAGAAUUUGUCCUUGGAAACAGUUAAGAGCUAAAGCUUAUACUUGGAGAGUAAAAGCAAUUCCUUUAGUGCCUAAAGUGUACAAACCAAACUACUUUUGCGGCACCAACUCAAAUUACUGCCACUGCAACUGCACACGGCUGCAAAGGGAGUAUUAUUAAUUUGUGAUGCAGUUAUAUAAUAGCAUUGCGGCUGACUACUGAUUUUGGAGUACAUUAUUUGUGCAGUUCUGCAAAGCAAAGGAGAAUCUUUACGUGGCCAACCAAAACCGAGAAAGGAAAUUGAAACUACAAGCUGGAAGACUCCCAAAAGUAGUCCAUCAAUUGGAUUUGAACAAGAACCAGAAUGUGGCAGCAACAAUUCUUAGCUUUCUUUUGUAAAUUGUAGUGUUCAUUUUUUACUUGUAAUAGGUUUGCUUUGCUAGUUUCUUCUUUGUAAAAGGCCAUUCAAAGUCCAAGUUGUCUUGGAAGAGUCCUUGGUGCUCUUUCAACUCUUGGCAAAACUUUUCUUGUGUGUGAUUUAAUUUGGUGUUUCACGUUAGGAAACAUUAGAGUCCGGCAUUAGAGUCCCAAAUUGUUGUUUUCCUUUGUUUUUUAUUUGCUUUUGAGUUUUCUUUUGUGAUUUUGAAAGUAAUCUUGCAAGUAACAACAACUAAGUAAGUAGCCUAGAACAAUUUUGGCAAGGACAAGGCUUGGUACUUAAGUAAUCCUAGUGAUUCACCUCCCUUACCUGGAAAUUGUUUUUGGGUGAAAUCUAAGUAGUUGCAACACAAGACAACUUUUAGAAACAAAAAUGUCUUUUUAUUCAUCUAGGUUAUCUAGUUCAUACAUUAAGGAUGAUUUGUGUACUAAAGCUAGAAAAAUUCCCUUCUUUGGUAAAGAUACAAAUGUCUUAACAUACUUAGUUUGGGAAAAAGAAAUUAAUCAAAUGCAUCCUGUUCUUCUUAGA